CAGCAGCCGCGGGAAUACGAAGGGGGCUAGCGUUGCUCGGAAUGACUGGGCGUAAAGGGCGCGUAGGCGGCGGCCAAAGUCAGGCGUGAAAUUCCCGGGCUCAACCUGGGGGCUGCGUUUGAUACUUGGUUGCUUGAGUGGGGAAGAGGGUCGUGGAAUUCCCAGUGUAGAGGUGAAAUUCGUAGAUAUCGGAAGGAACACCUGUGGCGAGAGCGGCUCACUGGACAAUAACUGACGCUGAUGCACGAAAGCUAGGGGAGCAAACAGGAUUAGAUACCCCAGUAGUCCCUGUCUCUUAUAC
This 301-nucleotide ribosomal RNA is filed under the name uncultured bacterium. RNAcentral describes it as "partial 16S ribosomal RNA". It matches the Rfam family "Bacterial small subunit ribosomal RNA", at positions 509 to 807 of the family's 1533-position model. The record is from RNAcentral.